UGCCUGAAAGCUUCGGCGCGCAAUGCGGCGGAGCGCAUUUAUUAGUACAAAACCAAUCGGGCGUUCGCCGACGGCGUUCGUCCGCCAACGGUUGGUGAAUCGGAAUAACUAUGCUGAUCGCACGGUCCAGCACCGGCGACGAAUCUUUGAAAUGACUUGCUCAUCAACUUUCGAUGGUACGCUACGUGCUUACCAUGGUGACAACGGUUAACGGAGAAUCAGGGUUCGACUCCGGAGAGGGAGCCUGAGAAACGGCUACCACAUCCAAGGAAGGCAGCAGGCACGCAAAUUACCCACUCCCAGAUCGGGGAGGUAGUGACGAAAAAUAACGGAACGUAUCUCCAUGAGACGCGUUACCGGAACGACCGAGCCGUACACAAGCUCGGCUAAUUCUAUUGGAGGGCAAGUCUGGUGCCAGCAGCCGCGGUAAUUCCAGCUCCAAUAGCGUAUAUUAAAGUUGCUGCGGUUAAACCGCUCGUAGUUGGAUUUUGGUGAACGACGACGGUCGUCCUAAGCAGGAGUC
RNAcentral lists this ribosomal RNA (523 nucleotides) under Trichuris vulpis. RNAcentral describes it as "SSU rRNA". It matches the Rfam family "Eukaryotic small subunit ribosomal RNA", at positions 171 to 675 of the family's 1831-position model. Lineage: Eukaryota; Metazoa; Nematoda; Enoplea; Trichinellida; Trichuridae. The record is from RNAcentral.